RNAcentral lists this ribosomal RNA (301 nucleotides) under uncultured bacterium. Its description in RNAcentral is "partial 16S ribosomal RNA". It matches the Rfam family "Bacterial small subunit ribosomal RNA", at positions 509 to 807 of the family's 1533-position model. The record is from RNAcentral.
CAGUCGCCACGGUAAUACGUAGGUGGCAAGCGUUGUCCGGAAUUAUUGGGCGCAAAGGGCUCGCAGGCGGUUUCUUAAGUCUGAUGUGAAAGCCCCCGGCUCAACCGGGGAGGGUCACUGGAAACUGGGAAACUUGAGUGCAGAAGAGGAGAGUGGAAUUCCACGUGUAGCGGUGAAAUGCGUAGAGAUGUGGAGGAACACCAGUGGCGAAGGCGACUCUCUGGUCUGUAACUGACGCUGAGGAGCGAAAGCGUGGGGAGCGAACAGGAUUAGAUACCCCGGUAGUCCCUGUCUCUUAUAC